Long non-coding RNA from Sarcophilus harrisii (Tasmanian devil), 350 nucleotides. Lineage: Eukaryota; Metazoa; Chordata; Mammalia; Dasyuromorphia; Dasyuridae. The record is from Ensembl.
ACUGGACUAAUUAUGAUUCCCUACAUAGAGUAUUCCAAUUUGUCUCUUUUUGCCUUUGUACAGGCUGUCCUCGAAGAUGUUCAACUGACGUCUAUUCUCUAGAAUUACUUCCUUCAAAACUCAGCUCCACUGCUACUUCCUGCAUGAAGUCUUUUCUGAUAUAUUCAGGUGUCAGCAUCCUUACCUUCCCUCAGUUAUUCUGCAUAGCACCUGAAGAGGAUAGAAUUAGGUCAAAGGAGAGUCAUUUAAUGAAAAUUAAGCACCCCCUCUUCCCUAAUCCUGGCCACAUUUAACCACUUUAACAGAAGCUCUCCAUCUCCCUCUUUUCCGAAAUUAUGCCUGCCUCAAGA